CCCUUAGAUGUUCUGGGCCGCACGCGCGCUACACUGAUGCAUUCAACGAGCCUAGCCUUGACCGAGAGGUCCGGGUAAUCUUUGAAACUGCAUCGUGAUGGAGCUAGAUUAUUGCAAUUAUUAAUCUUCAACGAGGAAUGCCUAGUAAGCGUGAUUCAUCAAAUCGCGUUGAUUACGUCCCUGCCCUUUGUACACACCGCCCGUCGCUCCUACCGAUUGAGUGUGUUGGUGAGGAGUUCGGAUUGGCUCUUAGUGGUGGUUCGCCACCACCUAGAGCUGAGAAGUUCUCCAAACCGCCCCACUUAGAGGAAGGAGAAGUCGUAACA
This 326-nucleotide ribosomal RNA is filed under the name uncultured eukaryote. Its description in RNAcentral is "partial 18S ribosomal RNA". It matches the Rfam family "Eukaryotic small subunit ribosomal RNA", at positions 1470 to 1796 of the family's 1831-position model. The record is from RNAcentral.